Molecule: ribosomal RNA, 759 nt
Filed under: uncultured bacterium
Lineage: Bacteria
Description: bacterial SSU rRNA
Rfam family: Bacterial small subunit ribosomal RNA
Source: RNAcentral
AGAGUUUGAUCAUGGCUCAGGACGAACGCUGGCGGCGUGCUUAACACAUGCAAGUCGAACGGGAUCCUUCGGGGUUCAGUGGCGAACGGGUGAGUAACACGUGAGCACCUGCCCCUUGGCUCUGGGAUAGCCUCCGGAAACGGGGAUUAAUACCGGACAUGACCUCAGAUCGCAUGAUCUGGGGUGGAAAGUUUUUCGGCCAGGGAGGGGCUCGCGGCCUAUCAGCUUGUUGGGGGGGUAACGGCCCACCAAGGCGACGACGGGUAGCCGGCCUGAGAGGGCGACCGGCCACACUGGGACUGAGACACGGCCCAGACUCCUACGGGAGGCAGCAGUGGGGAAUAUUGCACAAUGGGGGAAACCCUGAUGCAGCGACGCCGCGUGCGGGAUGAAGGCCUUCGGGUUGUAAACCGCUUUCAGCAGGGGCGAAUUCAGACGGUACCUGCAGAAGAAGCGCCGGCUAACUACGUGCCAGCAGCCGCGGUAAUACGUAGGGCGCAAGCGUUGUCCGGAAUUAUUGGGCGUAAAGAGCUCGUAGGCGGCCUGUUGCGUCCGCUGUGAAAUCCCGGGGCUUAACCCCGGGCCUGCAGUGGAUACGGGCAGGCUGGAGGCAGCAGGGGAGAACGGAAUUCCCGGUGUAGCGGUGAAAUGCGCAGAUAUCGGGAGGAACACCGGUGGCGAAGGCGGUUCUCUGGGCCUGUUCUGACGCUGAGGAGCGAAAGCGUGGGGAGCAAACAGGAUUAGAUACCCUAGUAGUCC